RNAcentral lists this ribosomal RNA (425 nucleotides) under Rhodobacteraceae bacterium SKA62. RNAcentral describes it as "bacterial SSU rRNA". It matches the Rfam family "Bacterial small subunit ribosomal RNA", at positions 8 to 479 of the family's 1533-position model. The record is from RNAcentral. Lineage: Bacteria; Pseudomonadati; Pseudomonadota; Alphaproteobacteria; Rhodobacterales; Paracoccaceae.
AGAGUUUGAUCAUGGCUCAGAACGAACGCUGGCGGCAGGCCUAACACAUGCAAGUCGAGCGAGACCUUCGGGUCUAGCGGCGGACGGGUUAGUAACGCGUGGGAAUAUACCCUUCACUACGGAAUAGCCUCGGGAAACUGGGAGUAAUACCGUAUACGCCCUUUGGGGGAAAGAUUUAUCGGUGAAGGAUUAGCCCGCGUCUGAUUAGAUAGUUGGUGGGGUAAUGGCCUACCAAGUCUACGAUCAGUAGCUGGUUUGAGAGGAUGAUCAGCAACACUGGGACUGAGACACGGCCCAGACUCCUACGGGAGGCAGCAGUGGGGAAUCUUAGACAAUGGGCGCAAGCCUGAUCUAGCCAUGCCGCGUGAGUGACGAAGGCCUUAGGGUCGUAAAGCUCUUUCGCCAGAGAUGAUAAUGACAGUAUC